UACGUAGGGUGCAAGCGUUGUCCGGAAUUAUUGGGCGUAAAGAGCUCGUAGGCGGUCUGUCACGUCGGACGUGAAAAUCCAGGGCUCAACCCUGGACCUGCGUUCGAUACGGGCAGACUAGAGUUCGGUAGGGGAGACUGGAAUUCCUGGUGUAGCGGUGGAAUGCGUAGAGAUCCGGAAGAACACCGGUGGCGAAGGCGGCCUGCUGGGCAGUGGCUGACACUGAGGCGCGACAGCGUGGGGAGCAAACAGG
This 253-nucleotide ribosomal RNA is filed under the name uncultured bacterium. RNAcentral describes it as "partial 16S ribosomal RNA". It matches the Rfam family "Bacterial small subunit ribosomal RNA", at positions 524 to 776 of the family's 1533-position model. The record is from RNAcentral.